Molecule: transfer RNA, 71 nt
Filed under: Candidatus Staskawiczbacteria bacterium RIFCSPHIGHO2_12_FULL_38_11
Lineage: Bacteria; Candidatus Staskawicziibacteriota
Description: tRNA-Pro
Rfam family: tRNA
About the family: Transfer RNA (tRNA) molecules are approximately 80 nucleotides in length. Their secondary structure includes four short double-helical elements and three loops (D, anti-codon, and T loops). Further hydrogen bonds mediate the characteristic L-shaped molecular structure. tRNAs have two regions of fundamental functional importance: the anti-codon, which is responsible for specific mRNA codon recognition, and the 3' end, to which the tRNAs corresponding amino acid is attached (by aminoacyl-tRNA synthetases). tRNAs cope with the degeneracy of the genetic code in two manners: having more than one tRNA (with a specific anti-codon) for a particular amino acid; and 'wobble' base-pairing, i.e. permitting non-standard base-pairing at the 3rd anti-codon position.
Source: RNAcentral
CGGGGCAUCGUAUAGAGGUAGUACGCAAGGCUGGGGGUCUUGUAGCCUGAGUUCGAUUCUCAGUGCCCCGA